This is a long non-coding RNA of Daphnia pulicaria, 710 nucleotides long. RefSeq lists it as uncharacterized. The transcript has 4 exons. NCBI's taxonomy places the organism in Eukaryota, Metazoa, Arthropoda, Branchiopoda, Diplostraca, Daphniidae. The record is from RefSeq and is a predicted model, not a curated record.
UAGAGUUCUUUAGAGUUCCAGUUUCAGUGACAUGAAGAGUGUGAAGUCUCAUGUGCUUGUAGCCUUGUACAUUUACCAGAUCUGCUUGAUGGGGUUGAUCUAAAAUCUUUCAAACUAUUUGUGACGUCUCUUGAGAUCGCGAGUCGGCCACCAGUUUCAAUCUACAACGCAGUUUCUUCAUGGAAUCGUAAGGUCCUGACACGGAGAUCCUUGAGUCAACGCUGGCUUUUGUCCAUGACAGAAGAGGGACUUCCAUCAACUUUCGCAUCCUUAUCUUCACUACGUACGCUCAUCCAGCUUCACUAAUUCUUGUGCUUCACUGGCGAAUUAGAUCACUUCAGUUUUCGCUUCCGUCCGCUGAGAGACACCUGCAGUCACUCGCCACGAGAUUAUGCCCAGGUAAUGCAGAGGAGACUUCGAGAAGAUGGAUUUUCUCAUCUUUAAAAAUCGUCACCGGUCUCCGUCGGAUGUUGCCCCUGCUCCUGGUGCCAACGAAACUCGUUUGAGAAAAUGGAUAAUGCGCCAACAAAAUACUUCUGGCAAUGGAAAGGGACCAUCACUGGCAACGGAAAGGGACAAUCGCGACCGGCACCGAGACUCGUCAUCAACGUGGAUCAUCGAAUUGUUGGUAUUAUUUCGUUUGUGUCAGUUAACCCGUUGGCUGCCACGCCUUUGUUCUCCCCUAGCUCCUUAGCACGGGCCGCGCUGUU